AACACCGCAGUGCAUGAGCACGUAGAAGAAGUUAAGCUGCUGGGGAGCGAACAAGGCUGGAGCCUCAGUGAUGCUGGUGGAUCAGAUAACUGCUGAAAGUUUUAAACAAACCAGAGCUCUGGCAGGACCUUGCUAGACACUUCAUCCAAACAUAUCAUCUUACAACUCUGAUAAAAGGAUCUGCUGGAUUUUCUUUUGGCUGAGAUAAGACAUUUGUAUUCAUUGAAACCAAUGUUAAUUGGCCUGGAAACAUCACGCUGCUGUGACUCAGCAGAGGACCUUUUUCUGGAGAGGCACUCCACCUGAGCUUUCCACCUCAGCAACAUGGACAUCACUGUAAUGCCAAGGCUCUCUUGCAUCAGCUUAUAAGAAAUCUCUGCAUUCCCUUUUGCUGCACUUUCUUCCUCUAUGCCCUUACCACAGAUCAGACUGGAUCCAUCCACACACCAUCUACACAGCACACUUCAGAGUAGAUCAGGUUGAAGCUGACAAGAUCUAGGUGGCUUGAAGCGGAGACAGAUAUGGUAUGGGUUUUUUUUGAGAGUGGCCCUGAUGACUGAUUUUGUGAGCUGGGAAGUGUAGGCAUGGACUUCAUCCAGAUAUUUAGAAGCCUCGUGUUUGGAGACCAAAUAUGGAACUGUUGCUUUUGUCUGAGUACAAUCAUUGUUUCAAUUAAAAUGUGGCUACUAUUAAAAUAAUAAUGAAUGGUU
Molecule: long non-coding RNA, 710 nt
Organism: Gallus gallus (chicken)
Lineage: Eukaryota; Metazoa; Chordata; Aves; Galliformes; Phasianidae
Source: Ensembl